UGGCUCACCAAGGCGACGAUGCGUAGCCGACCUGAGAGGGUGGAUCGGCCACAUUGGGACUGAGACACGGCCCAGACUCCUACGGGAGGCAGCAUG
This 96-nucleotide ribosomal RNA is filed under the name uncultured bacterium. RNAcentral's name for it is "partial 16S ribosomal RNA". It matches the Rfam family "Bacterial small subunit ribosomal RNA", at positions 261 to 353 of the family's 1533-position model. The record is from RNAcentral.